This 768-nucleotide ribosomal RNA is filed under the name uncultured bacterium. RNAcentral describes it as "bacterial SSU rRNA". It matches the Rfam family "Bacterial small subunit ribosomal RNA", at positions 98 to 882 of the family's 1533-position model. The record is from RNAcentral.
GCGAACGGGUGAGUAACGCGUGAGGAACCUGCCUCAAAGAGGGGGACAACAGUUGGAAACGACUGCUAAUACCGCAUAAGCCCACAGGUCGGCAUCGACCAGAGGGAAAAGGAGCAAUCCGCUUUGAGAUGGCCUCGCGUCCGAUUAGCUAGUUGGUGAGGUAAUGGCCCACCAAGGCAACGAUCGGUAGCCGGACUGAGAGGUUGAACGGCCACAUUGGGACUGAGACACGGCCCAGACUCCUACGGGAGGCAGCAGUGGGGAAUAUUGCACAAUGGGGGAAACCCUGAUGCAGCGACGCCGCGUGGAGGAAGAAGGUCUUCGGAUUGUAAACUCCUGUUGUUGAGGAAGAUAAUGACGGUACUCAACAAGGAAGUGACGGCUAACUACGUGCCAGCAGCCGCGGUAAAACGUAGGUCACAAGCGUUGUCCGGAAUUACUGGGUGUAAAGGGAGCGCAGGCGGGAAGACAAGUUGGAAGUGAAAUCUAUGGGCUCAACCCAUAAACUGCUUUCAAAACUGUUUUUCUUGAGUAGUGCAGAGGUAGGCGGAAUUCCCGGUGUAGCGGUGGAAUGCGUAGAUAUCGGGAGGAACACCAGUGGCGAAGGCGGCCUACUGGGCACCAACUGACGCUGAGGCUCGAAAGUGUGGGUAGCAAACAGGAUUAGAUACCCUGGUAGUCCACACCGUAAACGAUGAUUACUAGGUGUUGGAGGAUUGACCCCUUCAGUGCCGCAGUUAACACAAUAAGUAAUCCACCUGGGGAGUA